Molecule: ribosomal RNA, 134 nt
Filed under: Amborella trichopoda
Lineage: Eukaryota; Viridiplantae; Streptophyta; Magnoliopsida; Amborellales; Amborellaceae
Description: 5.8S ribosomal RNA
Source: RNAcentral
UUUUUCAAAGAGAUGUGAAACACCCGAUCCCCUUCCGAUCUCGAAAAGUGAAACCAUUUCUUUCCACAUGUACUGCAUCUCGCGGGAGACGUGGUAUAAGUAAAGAAAUUCUAAAGCAGCUAGCUGCUGCGCCU